RNAcentral lists this ribosomal RNA (527 nucleotides) under uncultured bacterium. Its description in RNAcentral is "bacterial SSU rRNA". It matches the Rfam family "Bacterial small subunit ribosomal RNA", at positions 8 to 526 of the family's 1533-position model. The record is from RNAcentral.
AGAGUUUGAUCCUGGCUCAGAUUGAACGCUGGCGGCAGGCCUAACACAUGCAAGUCGAACGGUAGCACAGAGAGCUUGCUCUCGGGUGACGAGUGGCGGACGGGUGAGUAAUGUCUGGGAAACUGCCUGAUGGAGGGGGAUAACUACUGGAAACGGUAGCUAAUACCGCAUAACGUCGCAAGACCAAAGAGGGGGACCUUCGGGCCUUGCGCGAUUGGAUAUGCCCAGGUGGGAUUAGCUAGUUGGUGAGGUAAUGGCUCACCAAGGCGACGAUCCCUAGCUGGUCUGAGAGGAUGAUCAGCCACACUGGAACUGAGACACGGUCCAGACUCCUACGGGAGGCAGCAGUGGGGAAUAUUGCACAAUGGGGGAAACCCUGAUGCAGCCAUGCCGCGUGUAUGAAGAAGGCCUUCGGGUUGUAAAGUACUUUCAGCGAGGAGGAAGGUGUUGAGGUUAAUAACCUCAGCAAUUGACGUUACCCGCAGAAGAAGCACCGGCUAACUCCGUGCCAGCAGCCGCGGUAAUUC